This 443-nucleotide ribosomal RNA is filed under the name uncultured Lachnospiraceae bacterium. Its description in RNAcentral is "partial 16S ribosomal RNA". It matches the Rfam family "Bacterial small subunit ribosomal RNA", at positions 341 to 792 of the family's 1533-position model. The record is from RNAcentral. Lineage: Bacteria; Bacillati; Bacillota; Clostridia; Lachnospirales; Lachnospiraceae.
ACGGGAGGCAGCAGUGGGGGAUAUUGGACAAUGGGGGAAACCCUGAUCCAGCGACGCCGCGUGAGUGAAGAAGUAUUUCGGUACGUAAAGCUCUAUCAGCAGGGAAGAAAAAAUCAAAAUUGACUGUACCUGACUAAGAAGCUCCGGCUAACUACGUGCCAGCAGCCGCGGUAAUACGUAUGGAGCAAGCGUUAUCCGGAUUUACUGGGUGUAAAGGGAGCGUAGACGGCAAAGCAAGUCUGAAGUGAAAUCCCGGGGCUCAACCCCGGAACUGCUUUGGAAACUGUUUAGCUAGAGUGCAGGAGAGGUAAGCGGAAUUCCUAGUGUAGCGGUGAAAUGCGUAGAUAUUAGGAGGAACACCAGUGGCGAAGGCGGCUUACUGGACUGUAACUGACGUUGAGGCUCGAAAGCGUGGGGAGCAAACAGGAUUAGAUACCCUGGUA